Molecule: transfer RNA, 76 nt
Filed under: Mobiluncus curtisii ATCC 43063
Lineage: Bacteria; Bacillati; Actinomycetota; Actinomycetes; Actinomycetales; Actinomycetaceae
Also listed under: 3 other names
Description: tRNA-Ala
Rfam family: tRNA
About the family: Transfer RNA (tRNA) molecules are approximately 80 nucleotides in length. Their secondary structure includes four short double-helical elements and three loops (D, anti-codon, and T loops). Further hydrogen bonds mediate the characteristic L-shaped molecular structure. tRNAs have two regions of fundamental functional importance: the anti-codon, which is responsible for specific mRNA codon recognition, and the 3' end, to which the tRNAs corresponding amino acid is attached (by aminoacyl-tRNA synthetases). tRNAs cope with the degeneracy of the genetic code in two manners: having more than one tRNA (with a specific anti-codon) for a particular amino acid; and 'wobble' base-pairing, i.e. permitting non-standard base-pairing at the 3rd anti-codon position.
Source: RNAcentral
GGGGCAUUGGCGCAGUUGGUAGCGCGCAACGUUCGCAAUGUUGAGGUCAGGGGUUCGAAUCCCCUAUGCUCCACCG